This is a long non-coding RNA of Protopterus annectens (West African lungfish), 305 nucleotides long. RefSeq lists it as uncharacterized. The record is from RefSeq and is a predicted model, not a curated record. NCBI's taxonomy places the organism in Eukaryota, Metazoa, Chordata, Ceratodontiformes, Protopteridae. The transcript has 3 exons.
CAUUAGUAGUGCACUUCAUUUAAUUUAACUUGCGGCAAAUGCACCAGUGCACCAUGUGUUUUAUUCAGGCAAUGCAGCAUAGCAUAGCAUAUUUUUCUUCCUCCAGCUGCUUAGGAGAUGAAAGAUGAUAGUUGCCCUCCGGGUGAUUCAGUCAGCCAGCCAGCAGACCACACGUGAAGAAAUCUUGGCAGUAUCAAAGCCCUCAAUAAUUUGCCAGAACGCCACAAUUUUAUGAGAGAUGAAAUGAGAAAUGAAAGAAAUCAAAAGUAUGAGGCAAAAGUCAGGACAUUCUGCAAAUGUCUGCA